CCUACGGGGGGCAGCAGUGGGGAAUAUUGGACAAUGGGGGGAACCCUGAUCCAGCCAUGCCGCGUGUGUGAAGAAGGCCCUCGGGUUGUAAAGCACUUUCAGUGAGGAAGAACGCCUGGUGGUUAAUACCCAUCAGGAAAGACAUCACUCACAGAAGAAGCACCGGCUAACUCCGUGCCAGCAGCCGCGGUAAUACGGAGGGUGCGAGCGUUAAUCGGAAUUACUGGGCGUAAAGCGCGCGUAGGUGGCUUGAUAAGCCGGUUGUGAAAGCCCCGGGCUCAACCUGGGAACGGCAUCCGGAACUGUCAAGCUAGAGUGCAGGAGAGGAAGGUAGAAUUGCCGGUGUAGCGGUGAAAUGCGUAGAGAUCGGGAGGAAUACCAGUGGCGAAGGCGGCCUUCUGGACUGACACUGACACUGAGGUGCGAAAGCGUGGGUAGCAAACAGGAUUAGAUACCCUAGUAGUC
This 465-nucleotide ribosomal RNA is filed under the name Vreelandella stevensii. RNAcentral's name for it is "partial 16S ribosomal RNA". It matches the Rfam family "Bacterial small subunit ribosomal RNA", at positions 338 to 795 of the family's 1533-position model. The record is from RNAcentral. Lineage: Bacteria; Pseudomonadati; Pseudomonadota; Gammaproteobacteria; Oceanospirillales; Halomonadaceae.